AUGAAUUUCCUAAGCAUGAGGUCUCCUGACAGAGCAAAGCAGACCUACCCUUCCUGUGUCGUGGACAUCCCUGUUGUCUAUGCACUUGAUCAGCAAGUGGAUGUUAAAUAUAAGGGCCCCGGAGCACCCAACGGCGUCGGUCUGCUGCCUCCCACGGCUGCAGCUAUCUGCUCUGCGCACGACAAAUGGCCGGGGCCGUGGCACCUUCAACUUUUGCAGCUGGUUCCUCUUGAACGUCGUCUUGCAGAAAGCAAAAUGUCAAGGAUAAAAGAAAUAAUUGACCAUAGAAAUAGCAGCAAUCGGAGCCAACCCCUUUAUUCUUGCAGGGGAAAAAUCCUCUAUAAAGUGCCUACAGAUUUUUCAAGAGAGCCUGGGGACUGAAUAAGAAAAACAAGAAGCUGAAUGUCUGCUGCACAUCACGGAUGUUAAGUGUGGAGCAUCCGGUGUUCAUAGCUGUCCCAUCAUGAAGUGAAAGUGCUGGGGAAGAAGGAAGGCUGCCCUCCUCACCCUCCCCGUGCUGGGGUCACCUUGAUUUGCACUGCAACCAUACCUGGCUGGGCUUAUGGAAGUGGAUGGUUUAGAAAUCCACAUGAAAAAAAAAAAAAAGCUAAACAAACAAACCCACAAAAACAACAACAACAAACACACACACACACACAAAACCAUUAGCUUCACAGAUACAGGAAUAUCAGGGCUUUAGGCAGAGUUGGGACCACCCUGUACACAGAUGAGAUGAAACUGCGUUAGCUCAGCCUGACUAUCAGUUUGUAUACUGUCAUCCAGGCUGGAUAUUUCUAAAGUUUUCAGAGAAAACAGCAUCUUUUCUGGCUACUUGGUGUCCCUCUCAUUCUUAAUAUUUGAACUACACAUUUCUUCAUAUUUGUUAUAAACAGCCCACUUGUUGUUCCUUGUUCCAUAUUCAUGAAGGUGCUUUUUAAUAAUUACUUUUUGUAUUUUUAUUUUUUUAAUGGAAUUAAUGAGUCAGAAAUAGAAAUAAUGAGUCUUGCCUUCUAGUAUAAACAUAUAGAAAUGUGCCUUUCACAGCUGAAAAUUCCUAUUAUCUCACCUGCUAACAAAGGUAUAGUUUCUUCUGAGAUUCUUUGUGCUUGUGAGGACUAUCUAGGCUCUUUGAUAGCAAAGUAAAAUACAAGGUUGUAGCAAAUUAAUAAAUGAGAAGCUUUUUGAAAGAAAACCUAACUC
RNAcentral lists this long non-coding RNA (1200 nucleotides) under Anser brachyrhynchus (Pink-footed goose). Its description in RNAcentral is "lncRNA (ENSABRG00000008291.1)". The record is from RNAcentral. Lineage: Eukaryota; Metazoa; Chordata; Aves; Anseriformes; Anatidae.